UCCACCCACCGCGGGAGCGAACCAUGCUUCGCUGAGAGGGCACAAGCCACAGGCCGCUAACAACAGCCGCCAGGAGUGCCGACCGCUUGAACCUGUCCGGGUAAUGCCGGCGUAGGAAGGAGAAGGUGUGUCCUC
Molecule: non-coding RNA, 135 nt
Filed under: Corynebacterium argentoratense
Lineage: Bacteria; Bacillati; Actinomycetota; Actinomycetes; Mycobacteriales; Corynebacteriaceae
Also listed under: 1 other name
Description: TPP sequence
Rfam family: TPP riboswitch aptamer (THI element)
About the family: Vitamin B(1) in its active form thiamin pyrophosphate (TPP) is an essential coenzyme that is synthesised by coupling of pyrimidine and thiazole moieties in bacteria. The previously detected thiamin-regulatory element, thi box was extended, resulting in a new, highly conserved RNA secondary structure, the THI element, which is widely distributed in eubacteria and also occurs in some archaea. Analysis of operon structures identified a large number of new candidate thiamin-regulated genes, mostly transporters, in various prokaryotic organisms.
Source: RNAcentral